This is a long non-coding RNA of Helianthus annuus (common sunflower), 947 nucleotides long. RefSeq lists it as uncharacterized. The record is from RefSeq and is a predicted model, not a curated record. Lineage: Eukaryota; Viridiplantae; Streptophyta; Magnoliopsida; Asterales; Asteraceae. The transcript is spliced from 3 exons.
UUCUAUAGUUAUUUUUAAACGUGCAUAAAUAUAUGCAAGAUAACACACACGCACAUACUCAUACACACACACAAAUACGGUUAGACCGUAUCCGAAUCUGACUCGGCAAAACCCAAACACCCUGAAAAAACAAACAAAUUUGUUCGUCGAUAUUAACUAAUUUCUAAUAAUUUUAGCCUUUCCUAUUUUUUUUAAUUGGAACUACAUGAAAGAGGCUACGGAUGAAGAAAUAGUAAAUACAUUGAAGGAUUUGAUGUUGGUUUUUAGCAGGUUGGGUAUUCAUUAGUUUAAAUGUAGUUUAUUUAUGUAUCUUUUUUUGCAUAAAUUCAAACAUCAUGGAUAUAAAUUGUUGUCAUGAAUCUUUCCAUUUACGUUCUCUCAUGGUCCAGUUCUUCACAGAUGUUAUUAGUUUGGUGGAUGGGAGGAACAAUAUUGUUAUUUCUUUUGGGUGUGAAAAGCUUAAAAGCACCAGAAGAGCAUAUUAGCCUGGUCAUGCCUAAUUCAUCUAGCAUAGGUGCGAUGUAAUUAGGGGAGAGUGCCUAAGCUUGACAAAAAGAUCAUUAAGAAGCGGGUCAAGGAAUUCAAGAGGCCCCAAAGUUACUGGAAAAUAUGUGAUAAGAAAUAUAUUUGCAAUGUUAUUUAAAGGUUGAUAUCGGUUACGGGUCAGACAAAAAGACCCGUCUUAUUCUUCCAUAUGGUUUUUUCCGGCAUUUGAAUAGUAGUCAAAAUGGCAACAAAAGGUAACAUCCUUUUUUCAGACAAAGAUGGGAAUGUAACGAGUAAAACAACAAAUGUAGUCUACAAGGAAGUUUUUUCCGGCAUUUGAACAGUUUUCUGUUUUUUUUUUCUUCCAAUGUAUGUAUUUGUACAGAACAUUUCAUUUCAAAGUAAAUAAUAUGGUUUUGGUUGAAGCCCGCGUAUUACGCGGGCAUUAACCUAGUUUUACA